GUAGGUGGCAAGCGUUGUCCGGAAUUAGUUGGGCGUAAAGCGCGCGCAGGGGUGGUUCUUUAAGUCUGAUGUGAAAGCCCCCGGGCUCAACCGGGGAGGGUCAUUGGAAACUGGGGAACUUGAGUGCAGGAGAGGAAAGUGGAAUUCCACGUGUAGCGGUGAAAUGCGUAGAUAUGUGGAGGAACACCAGUGGCGAAGGCGACUUUCUGGCCUGUAACUGACACUGAGGCGCGAAAGCGUGGGGAGCAAACAGGAUUAGAUACCCUGGUAGUCCACGCCGUAAACGAUGAGUGCUAAGUGUUGGGGGGUUUCCGCCCCUCAGUGCUGCAGCUAACGCAUUAAGCACUCCGCCUGGGGAGUACGGUCGCAAGACUG
RNAcentral lists this ribosomal RNA (375 nucleotides) under uncultured organism. RNAcentral's name for it is "partial 16S ribosomal RNA". It matches the Rfam family "Bacterial small subunit ribosomal RNA", at positions 527 to 896 of the family's 1533-position model. The record is from RNAcentral.